CAAGUGGCGGACGGGUGAGUAACACGUAAGAAUUUGCCUUUAGGAGGGGGAUAACAAUUGGAAACGGUUGCUAAUACCCCAUAUGCUUUCGAGUGAAAUGGAUUUUUCCGCCUAAAGAGAAGCUUGCGGCUGAUUAGCUUGUUGGUAAGGUAAUGGCUUACCAAGGCGACGAUCAGUAUCUGGUUUGAGAGGAUGAUCAGACACACUGGAACUGAGACACGGUCCAGACUCCUACGGGAGGCAGCAGUGGGGAAUUUUCCGCAAUGGGCGAAAGCCUGACGGAGCAAUCUCGCGUGAGGGAUGACGGCCUAUGGGUUGUAAACCUCUUUUUUCAGGGAGGAAUCAAUGACGUGUACCUGAAGAAUAAGCAUCGGCUAACUCCGUGCCAGCAGCCGCGGUAAGACGGAGGAUGCAAGUGUUAUCCGGAAUCACUGGGCGUAAAGCGUCUGUAGGUGGUCAAAUAAGUCAACUGUUAAAUCUUGAGGCUCAACCUCAAAAUCGCAGUCGAAACUAUUAGACUAGAGUAUAGUAGGGGUAAAGGGAAUUUCCAGUGGAGCGGUGAAAUGCGUAGAGAUUGGAAAGAACACCGAUGGCGAAGGCACUUUACUGGGCUAUUACUAACACUCAGAGACGAAAGCUAGGGUAGCAAAUGGGAUUAGAUACCCUGGUAGUCCCCUGAAUUCCAGCACACU
RNAcentral lists this ribosomal RNA (692 nucleotides) under uncultured phototrophic eukaryote. Its description in RNAcentral is "bacterial SSU rRNA". It matches the Rfam family "Bacterial small subunit ribosomal RNA", at positions 92 to 817 of the family's 1533-position model. The record is from RNAcentral.